RNAcentral lists this ribosomal RNA (868 nucleotides) under Leucophenga sp. 4 AY-2012. Its description in RNAcentral is "eukaryotic LSU rRNA". It matches the Rfam family "Eukaryotic large subunit ribosomal RNA", at positions 58 to 768 of the family's 3401-position model. The record is from RNAcentral. Lineage: Eukaryota; Metazoa; Arthropoda; Insecta; Diptera; Drosophilidae.
AAAGAAACUAACAAGGAUUUUCUUAGUAGCGGCGAGCGAAAAGAAAUCAGUUCAGCACUAAGUCACUUUGUCUUUAUGGCAAAUGUGAGAUGCAGUGUAUGGAACGUCUUAAAUCUAGUAUGAGAAAUUAACGAUUUAAGUCCUUCUUAAAUGAGGCCAUUUACCCAUAGAGGGUGCCAGGCCCGUAUAACGUUAAUGAUUACUAGAAGUCGUUUCCAAAGAGUCGUGUUGCUUGAUAGUGCAGCACUAAGUGGGUGGUAAACUCCAUCUAAAACUAAAUAUAACCAUGAGACCGAUAGUAAACAAGUACCGUGAGGGAAAGUUGAAAAGAACUCUGAAUAGAGAGUUAAAUAGUACGUGAAACUGCUUAGAGGUUAAGCCCGAUGAACCUGAAUAUCCGUUAUGGAAAAUUCAUCAUUAUAAUUGUAAUAUUUAAUAAAUAUUAUUAAUGAUAGUGUGCAUUUUUUCCAUAUAAGGACAUUGUAAUCUAUUAACAUAAAAAUAUUUAUCAAAAAGUCAUAAACAAUAGUUUAUUCAAAUUAUUUUGCUUGCAUUAUAACAUAGAAUAAAUGUUUAUUGAUUUGAUAAAGUGUUGAUAGAUUUAUCAUAUAUACAAUGCGUUAAUUCUACGGAAUUAUAUAAUGGCAUGAUAAUCAUUGAUUUUUGUGUUUAUUAUAUGCAUUUGUAUGAUUAACAAUGCGAAAGAUUCAGGAUACCUUCGGGACCCGUCUUGAAACACGGACCAAGGAGUCUAACAUAUUUGCAAGUCAUUGGGACUUUAUAAACCUAAUGGCAUAAUUAACUUGACUGAGUUAUAAAUGGGAUUAGUUUUUAAAUUUUUUAAAUUUAUUAACACAAUCCCGGGGCG